AUACUUACCUGGCAGGGGAGAUACCAUGAUCAAGAAGGUGGUUCACUCACAGCGAGGCUCAGACAUUAGACUCUGGCUUGUGCUGACCCGUGCGAAUUCCCCAAAUGUGGAAAUCUCGACUGCAUAAUUUCUGGUAGUGGGGGACUGCGUUCGCGCUGUCCCCUG
This 165-nucleotide small nuclear RNA is filed under the name Scophthalmus maximus (turbot). RNAcentral describes it as "U1 spliceosomal RNA (ENSSMAG00000030304.1)". It matches the Rfam family "U1 spliceosomal RNA". Rfam says of the family: U1 is a small nuclear RNA (snRNA) component of the spliceosome (involved in pre-mRNA splicing). Its 5' end forms complementary base pairs with the 5' splice junction, thus defining the 5' donor site of an intron. There are significant differences in sequence and secondary structure between metazoan and yeast U1 snRNAs, the latter being much longer (568 nucleotides as compared to 164 nucleotides in human). The record is from RNAcentral. Lineage: Eukaryota; Metazoa; Chordata; Actinopteri; Pleuronectiformes; Scophthalmidae.